RNAcentral lists this ribosomal RNA (251 nucleotides) under uncultured bacterium. RNAcentral's name for it is "partial 16S ribosomal RNA". It matches the Rfam family "Bacterial small subunit ribosomal RNA", at positions 524 to 774 of the family's 1533-position model. The record is from RNAcentral.
UACGUAGGUGGCAAGCGUUGUCCGGAAUUACUGGGUGUAAAGGGAGCGCAGGCGGGGGAACAAGUCAGUUGUGAAAUCCAUGGGCUUAACCCGUGAACUGCAGUUGAAACUGUUCUUCUUGAGUGAAGUAGAGGUUGGCGGAAUUCCGAGUGUAGCGGUGAAAUGCGUAGAUAUUCGGAGGAACACCGGUGGCGAAGGCGGCCAACUGGGCUUUUACUGACGCUGAGGCUCGAAAGUGUGGGGAGCAAACA